CUACGGGUCGCUGCAGUGGGGAAUAUUGCACAAUGGGGGAAACCCUGAUGCAGCAACGCCGCGUGAAGGAAGAAGUUUUUCGGAACGUAAACUUCUAUCAGCAAGGAAGAUAAUGACGGUACUUGACUAAGAAGCCCCGGCUAACUACGUGCCAGCAGCCGCGGUAAUACGUAGGGGGCAAGCGUUAUCCGGAAUUACUGGGUGUAAAGGGUGCGUAGACGGUCGUGACAGUCAGAUGUGAAAGCCCGGGGCUCAACUCCGGGAUUGCAUUUGAAACUACGCGACUAGAGUACAGGAGAGGAAAGUGGAAUUCCUAGUGUAGUGGUGGAAUGCGUAGAUAUUAGGAGGAACACCAGUGGCGAAGGCGACUUUCUGGACUGUAACUGACGUUGAGGCACGAAAGCGUGGGGAGCAAACAGGAUUAGAUACCCUUGUAGUC
RNAcentral lists this ribosomal RNA (439 nucleotides) under uncultured bacterium. Its description in RNAcentral is "partial 16S ribosomal RNA". It matches the Rfam family "Bacterial small subunit ribosomal RNA", at positions 339 to 795 of the family's 1533-position model. The record is from RNAcentral.